Molecule: ribosomal RNA, 442 nt
Filed under: uncultured bacterium
Lineage: Bacteria
Description: partial 16S ribosomal RNA
Rfam family: Bacterial small subunit ribosomal RNA
Source: RNAcentral
CCUACGGGUGGCAGCAGUGGGGAAUAUUGGGCAAUGGGCGCAAGCCUGACCCAGCAACGCCGCGUGAAGGAAGAAGGCUUUCGGGUUGUAAACUUCUUUUAGGAGGGAAGAGCAGAAGACGGUACCUCUUGAAUAAGCCACGGCUAACUACGUGCCAGAAGCCGCGGUAAUACGUGGGUGGCAAGCGUUGUCCGGAUUUACUGGGUGUAAAGGGCGUGUAGCCGGGCUGACAAGUCAGAUGUGAAAGCCCGUGGCUAAACCCCGGAACUGCAUGUGAAACGGUCGGUCUUGAGUAUCGGAGAGGCAGGCGGAAUUCCUAGUGUAGCGGUGAAAUGCGUAGAUAUUAGGAGGAACACCAGUGGCGAAGGCGGCCUGCUGGACGACAACUGACGGUGAGGCGCGAAAGCGUGGGGAGCAAACAGGAUUAGAUACCCCAGUAGUC